GACGAACGCUGGCGGCGUGCCUAAUACAUGCAAGUAGAACGCUGAAGAGAGGAGCUUGCUCUUCUUGGAUGAGUUGCGAACGGGUGAGUAACGCGUAGGUAACCUGCCUUGUAGCGGGGGAUAACUAUUGGAAACGAUAGCUAAUACCGCAUAACAAUGGAUGACACAUGUCAUUUAUUUGAAAGGGGCAAUUGCUCCACUACAAGAUGGACCUGCGUUGUAUUAGCUAGUAGGUGAGGUAACGGCUCACCUAGGCGACGAUACAUAGCCGACCUGAGAGGGUGAUCGGCCACACUGGGACUGAGACACGGCCCAGACUCCUACGGGAGGCAGCAGUAGGGAAUCUUCGGCAAUGGGGGCAACCCUGACCGAGCAACGCCGCGUGAGUGAAGAAGGUUUUCGGAUCGUAAAGCUCUGUUGUAAGUCAAGAACGAGUGUGAGAGUGGAAAGUUCACACUGUGACGGUGGCUUACCAGAAAGGGACGGCUAACUACGUG
RNAcentral lists this ribosomal RNA (497 nucleotides) under uncultured bacterium. RNAcentral describes it as "partial 16S ribosomal RNA". It matches the Rfam family "Bacterial small subunit ribosomal RNA", at positions 28 to 507 of the family's 1533-position model. The record is from RNAcentral.